GUCCCUGUUGAAGAGGAGUACAAUGCAUCUUUUCAGGAACAAACAGAAGACACAACUGAAGAGAGAAGCUGAAAUUUUGACUGAGUGUAUGCCUAUACGUCCCAGGAAAUACAAAGAGAGAAAACUGGUAAGGUCCAUGGAUCAACUAAUUCUACACUGCAUACAUGUAUCGCUUUCCUAAUUGAAGAAUCAUAUACAUUAUGACUACAAUUUUGUGCAGAACGGUACUCCAAUCUACUCUCAUAUCUGGACAAUUGAUAUUACAAAGAAAGAUAAAAGAAUUUGAGUGAGAAUUGAGUCUUCCCCUGUAGUGCCCGAGAGCAAUAAAUACAGGAAGAAGAUAUGCGGAUUGCGGCUGACCGCUGACUGAUAAUUUACCUCCGUCCUAGCGCACAUUUAUUCCUCUAAGCAGACCUUUAAACUUAU
Molecule: long non-coding RNA, 426 nt
Filed under: Nicotiana tabacum (common tobacco)
Lineage: Eukaryota; Viridiplantae; Streptophyta; Magnoliopsida; Solanales; Solanaceae
Description: long non-coding RNA (NTAB_LNC011400)
Source: RNAcentral